RNAcentral lists this non-coding RNA (485 nucleotides) under Nippostrongylus brasiliensis. RNAcentral describes it as "Eukaryotic small subunit ribosomal RNA". It matches the Rfam family "Eukaryotic small subunit ribosomal RNA", at positions 644 to 1113 of the family's 1831-position model. Lineage: Eukaryota; Metazoa; Nematoda; Chromadorea; Rhabditida; Heligmosomidae. The record is from Rfam by way of RNAcentral.
ACCAUUAGAGUUGGUAUUUCUUUGCCGACGCCUUACAGGAUCACAAAUACGUACGCCUAGAUGACCGAAUUUCUAGAUAAAGUGUGUCUAGCUCUGGAGCACCGCGCCCUUAAUAAAGCUGUUGUGCUUGAAAAUAUAGUAAGACAUUGGUAAAUGUUUGUACCCAUAACAAGGCCUAGACGCAACAGCUAACAUAGUGGCGCAAAAGCAAGAAGAGUAACAUUUUCAAAGCACUUAUCUUAGUUAACCAAUCCUCUCUAUGCCAGUUCGGGAGUAUUCGUAUGUUGAAAUUUCUGCACGGCAGCGAGACGCCCUAAAGCGAAAGCAUUUGCAAAGAAAAACUUCAUGAAUCAGGAAAGAAAGUCAUAGGUUCGAAGCCGAAUAGAUACUGCCCUGGUUCUGACCGUGAACUAUGCCAUCUAGCGAUCCGAUGGAGGCAUUUUUGCCCUGUCAAGGAGGUUUCAGAAAACGAAGGUCGUUCGGUU